UAUAUACCUGUAUAUAUAUAUGUAUAUAUAUAUACACACACAUACUGUACAUGCCCCGCAAAGCUUCUCUGUGCGCCCACGUCGCCACGCCUCUCUGGGCGCCCACGUCGCCACUCCUCUCUGGGCGCCCACGUCACCACGCGCCUCUGGGCGCCCACGUCGCCACUUUUCUCUGGGCGAACACGUUGCAGCAGUUUUUCUCUGGGCGUGCACGUAGCCAUUACAGUUUCCGUCACAGCAUAUGCUGCAGCCUUCAAUGCAGUGGCCCAUCGUGUCUUGACCGAGAUUUAUUCCACCAGUCAAUGCGAUAACAGCUCGUGGUUCAACAUGACCGGGGUGCAUGUCUCAUUCUAGUACUCGACCAAACUAAGAAUAGUUUUUGCCACAAACUCGAAGCAAACAGGGUGACCCAUUCUAUCCUCACCUAACAAUUGAUGAUAGUGGGUCCCACCCGUGAAAAAUGCAGAAAUAGUCAUUGGGCGACGCUGGCGCUCACUAGCUUGAGCCCAUGUCCCCACAAAUGAUAAAGGUUGAGCUAGUCUUGGGACACCUGCGUUAACAUUUGAUAGAUAUACUGCCCCACUCAAACUUCACACCAGAUAAUGAGCGGCAUGCCGACUCGUCGGCGCACGCUUCUCUGGGAACACAAGCCGUCGUCCAACAGGCGUGUUUCGCCUCGUCGUAGGUGACCGUGACCAAGCAUCUGUUACCCAGCGCAUAGCAGGUCUACUAGCAACAUAAUAAAUGCGGAAAAGAGAGGCCUGGGGUGAAAUUGCUGCCUCAUUCAACGCCAGCAACUCUGACCAACUCCCUAUCACAGCCAAGCAGCUCAAGAGGAGCUACGGACACUUAAAAAGAAAAUAUGACUGUAGCCUACAGUAUUUAAGGCCUACUUCAAAAAAUGUUUUGUUUGUUUGUUUUCGAUCUACUGAUGUAAGUGCACAACAGCAUCGUAAAGUAUAACCAUGUUUCUGUACUCAAUUUUUAAUGGCAAAUUUACAUUUUUUAAAACUGUCUACAGGCCCUUUAAAUAUUGCUGUAUUGUAAAAUACUACAAAACCGUCAUAUAUUUAUUUUGUGAUGCAUAUAUGUACAGUAAAUGAUAUUAGUCUGUUCUGCAUCCCCUUUGCUCAUAGGCAUUGGUGAUGAAAGCAUUAUAAAAGCCAAUGCUGUUGCUAUUGCUAUACAGCAUUAAUUUCUUCUCUUUCUUUCAGAAAUAUAAAAACAGAGAUAUAAAAGACCGAAAACUUGAGGGCCGAGUUAGCAGUGGCUGAUGAUUUUUACGAGACCUUCCGCAAUCACCCAGUAGAUGAAGAAAUUAUUCCUUGUGGAAUGUGCAGGGCCGGCGCCAGCCUAUUUGGCGCCCUUAGCAGGACUACAGCUGGCAUCUCCACCCGCCUCCCACUUCACGAUUGGGUUUGCCCACAAAGUAAUCCAGCCAUAGUAUUGAGUGGGUUGAGGACUCUGUGGUGAAAUGGACAUCUAAGACAUACAAUCUCUGAAAAUGAAUUGCUGGAAGCACCCUCUGUACAUGUAAGGACCACCAAUUGUGAGUAAAGCACAGAGUAAAUUGUGUAGUGUUAACACAGUGUCAAGAUAAUUGAAAAAGACAGUGAAUUCUUGUGAGUACAGAAAAUCCGCUUUGUGUUAAUCAUCCGUGAAAGCUACAGAGUUAUAUUUUCUUGAGACAUUCUCGUCAAGUAUCAUCAAGUAUUUUAUUUUGAGCAUUGCUAUGAGUACUUUGUGAAUUGAAAGUUUGUAUUGUCCUCUUUAGAGAUACUUAAUUUUCUGAGUGAGUCACCGAUACUACUGCCGAUUAUUUAUUUUGGUGAGUAUCCAUUUAAGAAGUAUCCGAGGCAUUUAUGUGUCAAUGUUUACCCCCUUUGCUCUGGAAGGGUGUUAAUUGAAUUUAUCUUUGGUGGGGUUGUUUUGUAGAAGAUUUGUUGUGACAUCAGCGCACGAUGAUCACAGUAGUUGUGAAUAAGUUACAACUUAUGUGUGAGUUCCGACAAUAUCUUUGUCAGACAUGUCCGUGAACCCCAACAAUACCUUGAACUUUUCAUUCACCUCGCCCAAGGUCUUGAACCUCUCAUUAAGAGAGGAAAUCACAGUAUCCACUACCACAUUGAAAAAUGUAGUCUCCAUCCUCUUGAGUACAUCGCUGACAGGUUCGUCUGCACACUCAUAGCUAAAGUGACAUUUUUUAGUUCUUAGUCUUCUGUUUCAGCACCGUGUCUACGCUCAUCGCUUCACAGAUUUCUUUAGCAAUAGUUAGUGCAUCAGCAAAACCUGUAUUUCUGUAGCUGACAAUAUCAUCUCUGGUCUUUUUGAGCAGAUCUACAGCCACGCCGAGCUGUAUCGUAGUCGACUGCAUUAGUUUGCUCACGUGCUGAAUUUUGCUGAGUAUAUCAUACCACACAACUGAACAAAUGACAAAACGGUAUGACCCUACUUCCUCUGCCAACGAUUAAGCCUCAACUUUGACGACAGGGUCAGUUGCAGAUUCUCUGUGCUCCAAAAGCGCUUCUUUGAGUUGCGGAGGUUGAUAUCUAAUUGCCUCCACACUUUUUACUCGGCUUUCCCAUCUGACGUCUGACCACGAUUUCAGAGUAAUAUUAACAUGUUUUAAAAGAACUUGCCACCUCUGAGGAGAGGCUGAAAACAAUGUGAAUACUUUCGUUAAAUAUCCAAAGUAACAAGUUGCAUUUAGGGAGCUCUUGGCAGCGUCACCUAAUAUAAAAUUCAAAUUAUGGGCACCACAAGGGACAAAUAAGGGCCGAGAAUUCUGUUGAAGAAGCCUGGCUUGAACUCCUUUGAUGUUUCCUCUCAUAUUUGCUUCAUUGUCGUAGGAUUGACCUCGAUAAUCCUCAAAAGAAAUGUUCAUUUGUUUGUCUUCCGAGUAGAAUUCAUGACAAAUUUAGCCCUGUAGACUUCUCUACCUCAAGGAACCCCAAGGUAGUGUGACUGUGAUUGCCUGCAUUACUUUCAACCCUACUUAAAGUUCCACUUCUUGGAGAAAAUUACCAUUGGAUUGACAGUUAAGUUUUUCGGCUGACCCUCUAGAGCCAAAUUGCUUUCAGCUAGAGACUGAAUAAUCGCCAUUAGUCUAGUGAGGACUUGGCGCCACCCGUUCCACUCAGCCAUUAACAUUUCCAUUUCCCGUCUGUCUAUCGUCCUUCCACUUGCAAUGUUGACCUCCAGUUCCUUCUAUGUUGUCAUGUUUUUUUUAGUGUGUUCUAUGUUACUUUCAUGUGUGCUGAGCAAAUGACUAGUUCUCAGUUGGAGUCAAUUUGUUACCAUUGAAUUUAUUGAGAUAACACAAGUUUGGUGUUAAAUUUUUCAUUGUUGUAUUUUUCAACCUGUUUUUAUUUAACGGAGAAUUUUAUUACAUAGCGCCUUACCAUUUCUUACAGUGUAGACUGAUAUGCAUUGUUGGUAAAGAGGUUAUAUGUAUUUGAGAACUAAUUCCGGUGUAUUUUCAGCCAUAGUAUUGAGUGGGUUGAGGACUCUGUGGUGAAAUGGACAUCUAAGACAUACAAUCUCUGAAAAUGAAUUGCUGGAAGCACCCUCUGUACAUGUAAGGACCACCAAUUGUGAGUAAAGCACAGAGUAAAUUGUGUAGUGUUAACACAGUGUCAAGAUAAUUGAAAAAGACAGUGAAUUCUUGUGAGUACAGAAAAUCCGCUUUGUGUUAAUCAUCCGUGAAAGCUACAGAGUUAUAUUUUCUUGAGACAUUCUCGUCAAGUAUCAUCAAGUAUUUUAUUUUGAGCAUUGCUAUGAGUACUUUGUGAAUUGAAAGUUUGUAUUGUCCUCUUUAGAGAUACUUAAUUUUCUGAGUGAGUCACCGAUACUACUGCCGAUUAUUUAUUUUGGUGAGUAUCCAUUUAAGAAGUAUCCGAGGCAUUUAUGUGUCAAUGUUUACCCCCUUUGCUCUGGAAGGGUGUUAAUUGAAUUUAUCUUUGGUGGGGUUGUUUUGUAGAAGAUUUGUUGUGACAUCAGCGCACGAUGAUCACAGUAGUUGUGAAUAAGUUACAACUUAUGUGUGAGUUCCGACAAUAUCUUUGUCAGACAUGUCCGUGAACCCCAACAAUACCUUGAACUUUUCAUUCACCUCGCCCAAGGUCUUGAACCUCUCAUUAAGAGAGGAAAUCACAGUAUCCACUACCACAUUGAAAAAUGUAGUCUCCAUCCUCUUGAGUACAUCGCUGACAGGUUCGUCUGCACACUCAUAGCUAAAGUGACAUUUUUUAGUUCUUAGUCUUCUGUUUCAGCACCGUGUCUACGCUCAUCGCUUCACAGAUUUCUUUAGCAAUAGUUAGUGCAUCAGCAAAACCUGUAUUUCUGUAGCUGACAAUAUCAUCUCUGGUCUUUUUGAGCAGAUCUACAGCCACGCCGAGCUGUAUCGUAGUCGACUGCAUUAGUUUGCUCACGUGCUGAAUUUUGCUGAGUAUAUCAUACCACACAACUGAACAAAUGACAAAACGGUAUGACCCUACUUCCUCUGCCAACGAUUAAGCCUCAACUUUGACGACAGGGUCAGUUGCAGAUUCUCUGUGCUCCAAAAGCGCUUCUUUGAGUUGCGGAGGUUGAUAUCUAAUUGCCUCCACACUUUUUACUCGGCUUUCCCAUCUGACGUCUGACCACGAUUUCAGAGUAAUAUUAACAUGUUUUAAAAGAACUUGCCACCUCUGAGGAGAGGCUGAAAACAAUGUGAAUACUUUCGUUAAAUAUCCAAAGUAACAAGUUGCAUUUAGGGAGCUCUUGGCAGCGUCACCUAAUAUAAAAUUCAAAUUAUGGGCACCACAAGGGACAAAUAAGGGCCGAGAAUUCUGUUGAAGAAGCCUGGCUUGAACUCCUUUGAUGUUUCCUCUCAUAUUUGCUUCAUUGUCGUAGGAUUGACCUCGAUAAUCCUCAAAAGAAAUGUUCAUUUGUUUGUCUUCCGAGUAGAAUUCAUGACAAAUUUAGCCCUGUAGACUUCUCUACCUCAAGGAACCCCAAGGUAGUGUGACUGUGAUUGCCUGCAUUACUUUCAACCCUACUUAAAGUUCCACUUCUUGGAGAAAAUUACCAUUGGAUUGACAGUUAAGUUUUUCGGCUGACCCUCUAGAGCCAAAUUGCUUUCAGCUAGAGACUGAAUAAUCGCCAUUAGUCUAGUGAGGACUUGGCGCCACCCGUUCCACUCAGCCAUUAACAUUUCCAUUUCCCGUCUGUCUAUCGUCCUUCCACUUGCAAUGUUGACCUCCAGUUCCUUCUAUGUUGUCAUGUUUUUUUUAGUGUGUUCUAUGUUACUUUCAUGUGUGCUGAGCAAAUGACUAGUUCUCAGUUGGAGUCAAUUUGUUACCAUUGAAUUUAUUGAGAUAACACAAGUUUGGUGUUAAAUUUUUCAUUGUUGUAUUUUUCAACCUGUUUUUAUUUAACGGAGAAUUUUAUUACAUAGCGCCUUACCAUUUCUUACAGUGUAGACUGAUAUGCAUUGUUGGUAAAGAGGUUAUAUGUAUUUGAGAACUAAUUCCGGUGUAUUUUCAGCCAUAGUAUUGAGUGGGUUGAGGACUCUGUGGUGAAAUGGACAUCUAAGACAUACAAUCUCUGAAAAUGAAUUGCUGGAAGCACCCUCUGUACAUGUAAGGACCACCAAUUGUGAGUAAAGCACAGAGUAAAUUGUGUAGUGUUAACACAGUGUCAAGAUAAUUGAAAAAGACAGUGAAUUCUUGUGAGUACAGAAAAUCCGCUUUGUGUUAAUCAUCCGUGAAAGCUACAGAGUUAUAUUUUCUUGAGACAUUCUCGUCAAGUAUCAAGUAUUUUAUUUUGAGCAUUGCUAUGAGUACUUUGUGAAUUGAAAGUUUGUAUUGUCCUCUUUAGAGAUACUUAAUUUUCUGAGUGAGUCACCGAUACUACUGCCGAUUAUUUAUUUUGCCAUAGUAUUGAGUGGGUUGAGGACUCUGUGGUGAAAUGGACAUCUAAGACAUACAAUCUCUGAAAAUGAAUUGCUGGAAGCACCCUCUGUACAUGUAAGGACCACCAAUUGUGAGUAAAGCACAGAGUAAAUUGUGUAGUGUUAACACAGUGUCAAGAUAAUUGAAAAAGACAGUGAAUUCUUGUGAGUACAGAAAAUCCGCUUUGUGUUAAUCAUCCGUGAAAGCUACAGAGUUAUAUUUUCUUGAGACAUUCUCGUCAAGUAUCAUCAAGUAUUUUAUUUUGAGCAUUGCUAUGAGUACUUUGUGAAUUGAAAGUUUGUAUUGUCCUCUUUAGAGAUACUUAAUUUUCUGAGUGAGUCACCGAUACUACUGCCGAUUAUUUAUUUUGGUGAGUAUCCAUUUAAGAAGUAUCCGAGGCAUUUAUGUGUCAAUGUUUACCCCCUUUGCUCUGGAAGGGUGUUAAUUGAAUUUAUCUUUGGUGGGGUUGUUUUGUAGAAGAUUUGUUGUGACAUCAGCGCACGAUGAUCACAGUAGUUGUGAAUAAGUUACAACUUAUGUGUGAGUUCCGACAAUAUCUUUGUCAGACAUGUCCGUGAACCCCAACAAUACCUUGAACUUUUCAUUCACCUCGCCCAAGGUCUUGAACCUCUCAUUAAGAGAGGAAAUCACAGUAUCCACUACCACAUUGAAAAAUGUAGUCUCCAUCCUCUUGAGUACAUCGCUGACAGGUUCGUCUGCACACUCAUAGCUAAAGUGACAUUUUUUAGUUCUUAGUCUUCUGUUUCAGCACCGUGUCUACGCUCAUCGCUUCACAGAUUUCUUUAGCAAUAGUUAGUGCAUCAGCAAAACCUGUAUUUCUGUAGCUGACAAUAUCAUCUCUGGUCUUUUUGAGCAGAUCUACAGCCACGCCGAGCUGUAUCGUAGUCGACUGCAUUAGUUUGCUCACGUGCUGAAUUUUGCUGAGUAUAUCAUACCACACAACUGAACAAAUGACAAAACGGUAUGACCCUACUUCCUCUGCCAACGAUUAAGCCUCAACUUUGACGACAGGGUCAGUUGCAGAUUCUCUGUGCUCCAAAAGCGCUUCUUUGAGUUGCGGAGGUUGAUAUCUAAUUGCCUCCACACUUUUUACUCGGCUUUCCCAUCUCACGUCUGACCACGAUUUCAGAGUAAUAUUAACAUGUUUUAAAAGAACUUGCCACCUCUGAGGAGAGGCUGAAAACAAUGUGAAUACUUUCGUUAAAUAUCCAAAGUAACAAGUUGCAUUUAGGGAGCUCUUGGCAGCGUCACCUAAUAUAAAAUUCAAAUUAUGGGCACCACAAGGGACAAAUAAGGGCCGAGAAUUCUGUUGAAGAAGCCUGGCUUGAACUCCUUUGAUGUUUCC
Homarus americanus (American lobster) is the source of this 7299-nucleotide long non-coding RNA. RefSeq lists it as uncharacterized. The transcript has 5 exons. Lineage: Eukaryota; Metazoa; Arthropoda; Malacostraca; Decapoda; Nephropidae. The record is from RefSeq and is a predicted model, not a curated record.